Molecule: ribosomal RNA, 253 nt
Filed under: uncultured bacterium
Lineage: Bacteria
Description: partial 16S ribosomal RNA
Rfam family: Bacterial small subunit ribosomal RNA
Source: RNAcentral
UACGUAGGGUGCGAGCGUUAAUCGGAAUUACUGGGCGUAAAGCGUGCGCAGGCGGCGCGUUAAGACAGGUGUGAAAGCCCCGAGCUUAACUUGGGAAUUGCGCUUGUGACUGGCGUGCUGGAGUGUGGCAGAGGGAGGUGGAAUUCCACGUGUGGCAGUGAAAUGCGUAGAGAUGUGGAGGAACACCGAUGGCGAAGGCAGCCUCCUGGGCCAGCACUGACGCUCAUGCACGAAAGCGUGGGGAGCGAACAGG